This 606-nucleotide ribosomal RNA is filed under the name uncultured Alphaproteobacteria bacterium. RNAcentral's name for it is "bacterial SSU rRNA". It matches the Rfam family "Bacterial small subunit ribosomal RNA", at positions 53 to 705 of the family's 1533-position model. The record is from RNAcentral. Lineage: Bacteria; Pseudomonadati; Pseudomonadota; Alphaproteobacteria.
ACAUGCAAGUCGAACGAGACCUUCGGGUCUAGUGGCGCACGGGUGCGUAACGCGUGGGAAUCUGCCCUUGGGUCCGGAAUAACAGUGAGAAAUUACUGCUAAUACCGGAUGAUGUCUUCGGACCAAAGAUUUAUCGCCCAGGGAUGAGCCCGCGUAAGAUUAGCUAGUUGGUGGGGUAAAGGCCUACCAAGGCGACGAUCUUUAGCUGGUCUGAGAGGAUGAUCAGCCACACUGGGACUGAGACACGGCCCAGACUCCUACGGGAGGCAGCAGUGGGGAAUAUUGGACAAUGGGCGAAAGCCCGAUCCAGCAAUGCCGCGUGAGUGAUGAAGGCCUUAGGGUUGUAAAGCUCUUUUACCCGGGAUGAUAAUGACAGUACCGGGAGAAUAAGCCCCGGCUAACUCCGUGCCAGCAGCCGCGGUAAUACGGAGGGGGCUAGCGUUGUUCGGAAUUACUGGGCGUAAAGCGCACGUAGGCGGCUAUUCAAGUCAGAGGUGAAAGCCCGGAGCUCAACUCCGGAACUGCCUUUGAAACUAGAUAGCUUGAAUCAUGGAGAGGCGGGUGGAAUUCCGAGUGUAGAGGUGAAAUUCGUAGAUAUUCGGAAGA